GAACGCACAUUGCGCCCCUUGGUAUUCCAUGGGGCAUGCCUGUUCGAGCGUCAUUUGUACCUUCAAGCCUUGCUUGGUGUUGGGUGUUUGUCUCGCCUCUGCGUGUAGACUCGCCUCAAAACAAUUGGCAGCCGGCGUAUUGAUUUCGGAGCGCAGUACAUCUCGCGCUUUGCACUCAGAACGACGACGUCCAAAAGUACAUUUUUACACUCUUGACCUCGGAUCAGGUAGGGAUACCCGCUGAACUUAAG
Molecule: unclassified non-coding RNA, 251 nt
Filed under: uncultured Didymellaceae
Lineage: Eukaryota; Fungi; Ascomycota; Dothideomycetes; Pleosporales; Didymellaceae
Description: sequence contains 5.8S rRNA gene
Rfam family: 5.8S ribosomal RNA (bases 1-53)
Source: RNAcentral